GUGGGCUUACUCUCGAAAUCAAUCUCAAUCUCAAUUUAGUCUCAAUGCAAUUCCAAUCACAAUUUUGUUUGUUACUCUUGAAGUCAUUACUAUUGCGAUUGUAUUGGCAUUGGGAUUGUCUCGUAAUUGUCGAUUCCACUGUACGUCAACAUGACAUCAACCUGUCAGCCACGGAAAUAGAACAAAUGAAUGAACGAAAACUUUAAUAAAAAUUAUAAAAUUUAAGUAAUUUUAAAGAAAAUUAUUUAUAUUCAGAGGUACUUUUAUCAAAAAUGCUUAUUUCUUACUAAUAACAUAUUUUUUAGACAAGAAUGAUCAAAUUAAAUUUUUGAAUCGGCUUAUUUGGCUGUAUGAGUUUAUUCCUGUGUCUCAACAUGUGUAGAGUUUACAAAAAAAAGUCAUAACAUAAAACAACCAGCCGACGGCCGGUUACACUUACUUAUUAAACCUAUACAAAAAGAAAUAAAUCAAUCAGCUGAAGCUGAAAAUCCAUAUUGUGUUUUAAGUGCUCGGCGCUCUUAAGUUUGUGGGACGAAGUUACCAAAAAUGAAGUUUAAAGUUGCUACAAUAUUCACGGCACAACAACGUUGUUUCUUCUUUGUUUACACUCCGAAAUUAAGUAUUGGGCAGAAAAGAAGUCUGCCUUGAAGAAGCUGUGCAACGGGCUCAGUCCAUGAGGCGCACUGGCGGUAGCUUAGAUAUGGUGCUAGGGCUGUCACUACUUUUUAUUUAUUUGUGGCAGUCAGUGGCAGUCAUGGGUGGUGGGUGACUCUCUUGCCACAGGUACCAGGGGAAUAGCUGUAGACCCCUUUCCACAAAGUAAUUCUCGCCCUUCUAAAUUAAUAGACCUGCCAUCCACAUCACAGGCUGCCACUGAAACCCUGGAAAUAGAGCAAGAAAUUCAUAUUCAUAAUCCACAGCCUCCUGUGGAGGCAGGGCUGCAGGUAGAACACAGCGAGCAGCA
Long non-coding RNA from Plodia interpunctella (Indianmeal moth), 964 nucleotides. RefSeq lists it as uncharacterized. Lineage: Eukaryota; Metazoa; Arthropoda; Insecta; Lepidoptera; Pyralidae. The transcript has 3 exons. The record is from RefSeq and is a predicted model, not a curated record.